RNAcentral lists this long non-coding RNA (880 nucleotides) under Capsicum annuum. RNAcentral's name for it is "long non-coding RNA (CANN_LNC021582)". The record is from RNAcentral. Lineage: Eukaryota; Viridiplantae; Streptophyta; Magnoliopsida; Solanales; Solanaceae.
CGCCUUGACACCUUAAUAGCAAGGAAACCCCCCUAUUGCACAAGCAAGUGAAAAUCUGGAGGGUCGGGAACCCCAAUGGGAAACCUUUCACCGCAUCACAUGAUUCUUGAAUAGCCAUAACGAGGAAUUCUACCAUACUUCGUGCGCUAUGGUUGUUGAUCCUGUAGAGUCUACCCACAUGUACAACUCUAAAUCACAUCCUCCUUUCUCAAGUAACUGGAGAAGGAGAAAAAACAAGAAUUAUUUGAUGAAACGUCAAGCUACAUGAACUAGGCAGGCGUAUUCGCAAUGGUACGUCUAUUUUAUCUUUAGCAUUUUCAAAUAAAAAAUGACUCAUAUUUCAAAAGACUUAUACAUCUGGGGCUGACAUAUCAAUGUACUGUGAAUGAUAAAAAGGUCUUUUUUCUCACAAUGUAUAAAAAUUUCUGGAGAUGCAAGAUAGUACUUUUUAUUUGUCAUUUUUCAUGAUAAUCUGGAGGUGAUCUCUCGGCUUCACAGUGGCAAUAGACACUAAACCCUGCUCAACAAGAUUUAACUAUGUAAAAGAAUUAGUACACAAGCAAAGAGAAAAAACGAAAAAUGAAAAACUACUGAAGAAAAAGAACCAAAAUAACUCACAUUUAACAGAGAACCAAUCAUUUUAAUCAUUGCAGGUACUCCCGACCAAUCUCGAUGAGGAGAUAUAAGCAAUUUAUGACAAGCAAUCCCCUUUCUCAAAUGCUAGACGUGGUUCGAGCAACAGGCAGUUGGAAAUACAUAGUUCAGACAUGGAAGAGGCCAGUCUGAUGGUUCUGCAAGCGAUUGGAGAUUACGUCAAUGAUAUAUAUAUAUGCAGCUCAGCGAUUGAACAACUCCUACAAUGCCAAUGGAUCAACAACUC